Molecule: long non-coding RNA, 374 nt
Organism: Ceratina calcarata
Lineage: Eukaryota; Metazoa; Arthropoda; Insecta; Hymenoptera; Apidae
Exons: 3
Source: RefSeq, a predicted model, not a curated record
GGCUAAAACACAUAAAAAAGGGAAAGGAAUCGUACACAGCUGCAAAACAGACACGAAAACAUGAGAAUGACCUAACCAAAGCAAUGGCGCAGCCACCACCCCCCAGGAAAUAAUAUAACAGUAUAGAACAGAGAAGGACUUCUAAAAAACAAACAGAGGAAACAGAAAACGAAGGAAUAAAACAAUAAAAAUAACGAAAAUUGACCCUGUUAAUGUAACAAAAGUCCAAAAAAAUCAAAAUAUACGAAGAAACAAAAAGAAAAAGAAAAAUAAAAAGACUAGAGAGGAAACCGUAGAAAUGAUGAAGGCUAGAAACUCAUAAAAAAGGGGAGAAGGAAACAUGCACAACUACAAAACAGACACGAAAAUACAAA